RNAcentral lists this long non-coding RNA (1469 nucleotides) under Xyrichtys novacula (pearly razorfish). The record is from RNAcentral. Lineage: Eukaryota; Metazoa; Chordata; Actinopteri; Labriformes; Labridae.
GCCAUUUCGGACACAGCCCAUAUUUGAAGCGCGCUUAGCAUUUCGUGCCAAAUGGGACAGCGUUUGCGCCGCGUGAUAACCUCACGCACACUUCAAAAGCGACGUUCAGUGCGGUCUCUGAAAUGAGACACAGCCCUGGAUCAUGACGUUUGUGGAUCAGUUGGUAGAAUGAGCAAAAAGGUCAACGGUCAGCUCCCAGAGCUGUCCACGUGCUCAAGUGUACUCGAGCAAGACUCUUGACCCUGCCCACCCCUGCUGGUUGAGUCCAGGAGUGAAUAAAACUAAGGUCUCCAUGACAACCUCUCUAUGAGUUAGUGAAUGAAAACAUGAACCUUUGACGAAGACUCUAGAAAUCCUCAUUUCUCAUAGUGAAGAACUGAGAACUGAGAUAAUAACAGACUCUCAUUUUCCCAUCCUGUCUGGAUUUAAUGUUGAUAUUUGACUCACAUGAAGAUGAGAACAUUUGGAGGAUCACCUCAGGGAUCAAUAUUCUUCUUCUUCAUCAAAGAGACGACAUGUUUUAUCUGUUUAAGUUUUACAAAAACAAACAUGUUCCUGAAAAUGUGAUGGUUUUCAAAUGUUACACAUUUAUGGUGAGUGACUGACACCUUCUGGUGAAAUUGUGUAUUACACCAAAUACUCAGUAUGAAGCAGAUGGACAUCAGGGACAGAAAUAAGUCCUGACCUUUACGUGAUACGUGAAUGUCUUUUUAUUUCAUUGUUUUUCUCAGUUUGUGGAUUUUUUCCUAAUCGGAGGGAGGCGAUGGAGAGGGUGCCUACUUUCAAGUUCCUGGGCAUGACUGUGGCUGAUGACCUAUCCUGGGGGACCAACAUCACCUCGGCUGUGGGUAAGGCACAACAAUGCCUUUUCUACCUCAGGAAAUUAAAGAGGGUAACUUCCUCAGGGACUUAUGGUAAAUUUCUACCAUGCCACAGUAGAGAGUGUGCUCACCUAUAGUCUAUUGGUGUGGUUCUCCAGCUGCACCAAGGCAGACAAGGAGGCACUCCACAGAGUGGUCCAGGCUGUGGAGAGGAUCAUUGGGAAGAGCCUCCCAGAGAUCUCGGCAGUCUUUACCUCCCGCUGCCUUCGAUGGGUGAACAACAUCUUACUGGACCAGUUCCACUCAGCACACCAUGUUUUCCAGAGACUGCCCUCUGGUAGAAGAUUCCAGUCCAUCCGCUCCAGGACCAGCAGACUGACCAACAGCCUGUACCUUCAUGCUGUCUGACUGCUCAACGAACAACCGGCCCCCCCAUCCCAUCCCAUUCCCAACUCCCCCUUGGUAACAUAACUCCACCACCUCCAUAACUAACAUCGAUAACUGUGAAGUGGAUUGGAUUGCUGCACUGUAUACUAUCUACCAUCUAUUGCAGACUACCCUCCCAACCCCCAUUCAUCACCCCAUUUGUUCUAUUUAUGAUCAUUGUUAUUGAGUACUUGAUGCCAGUGGUGAUGUGGGUGCUCCAGA